GCCGGGCACAGUGGCGCACGCCUGUAAUCCCAGUGCCUUGGGAGGCUGAGGCAGGAGAAUCAUGAGUUCAAAGCCAGCCUCAGCAAAAAGAAAUUUUCACUAGUAAUGCAAUGAAACCCUGUCUCUA
RNAcentral lists this small RNA (127 nucleotides) under Marmota monax (woodchuck). Lineage: Eukaryota; Metazoa; Chordata; Mammalia; Rodentia; Sciuridae. The record is from RNAcentral.